UAAUGGUCUUAAAUUUGACUCGGUAAAAACCUGCAGAAACCCUGAAUAAUAAGUAGUUCUCAGGUGUAGUUAUUAGUUUUAUUUUAUUUCUGUGUCAUGCCAAACAUUCGGGGAUUACAAGACACCACCAACCUUUUUAACAGACGUCUUCUGGUCUCGCAGAUACAAAUCAUGUGGAGAAAUACAUGAAUAACAGAAAACAAAA
Sander lucioperca (pikeperch) is the source of this 205-nucleotide long non-coding RNA. RefSeq lists it as uncharacterized. NCBI's taxonomy places the organism in Eukaryota, Metazoa, Chordata, Actinopteri, Perciformes, Percidae. The record is from RefSeq and is a predicted model, not a curated record. The transcript has 2 exons.